GGAAUCUUCCACAAUGGGCGCAAGCCUGAUGGAGCAACACCGCGUGAGUGAAGAAGGGUUUCGGCUCGUAAAGCUCUGUUGUUAAAGAAGAACACGUAUGAGAGUAACUGUUCAUACGUUGACGGUAUUUAACCAGAAAGUCACGGCUAACUACGUACCAG
This 161-nucleotide ribosomal RNA is filed under the name uncultured bacterium. Its description in RNAcentral is "partial 16S ribosomal RNA". It matches the Rfam family "Bacterial small subunit ribosomal RNA", at positions 358 to 511 of the family's 1533-position model. The record is from RNAcentral.